UGAUUCAGAUAACGAGCGAGAUUAUCGCCAAUUAAAUACCAGGAUCUGCUUUCAGAGCCAUGGUUCUAAUUGGGACUCCCUGCGUUUCAAGCAGGAGGAAGAGGGUAGCAAUAACAGGUCCGUGAUGUCCUUUAGAUGCUCUGGGCUGCACGCGCGCUACAAUGUUAGGAUCAAUGAGACUUGCUGAGCCGAAAGGUUUUAGCUACUCUCACAAUACCUAACGUAGUUGGGAUUGAGGAUUGUAAUCAUUCUCAUGAACCAGGAAUCCCUUGUAAAUGUGUGUCAACAGCGCACGUUGAAUACGUCCCUGCCCUUUGUACACACCGCCCGUCGCUCCUACCGAUUGGAUGACUCGGUGAAAUUAUCGGAGUGUACGCACAAAGG
This 384-nucleotide ribosomal RNA is filed under the name Tritrichomonas muris. RNAcentral describes it as "SSU rRNA". It matches the Rfam family "Eukaryotic small subunit ribosomal RNA", at positions 1320 to 1729 of the family's 1831-position model. The record is from RNAcentral. Lineage: Eukaryota; Parabasalia; Tritrichomonadida; Tritrichomonadidae.